ACAAUAACCCUUUGGUUUUUUGAUUAGUUGUAUUGAUUUCUUCAUUCAAAUUCAACCAUUAAUAUUAAAUUAGCUUGUCUAAGGUGGAGUUCUUAACCUAGCUUGUAGUAUUCUCAUGUUUUGUUGAAGGGAGACCAACAGAGCAUUUUUGCUAUUGGGAUCUAUAUCGAGACAACACUAUUCUGCACAUUACUUUAUUUGUUGUGCGUCACUGCCACAGGCGAGAAAACACGUUACCUGUUCAAAAUAAGAAGUGUUAGACCAACAAAAUGCUAAAUUCUCUUUCCAUUUAGGCUAGUUCUACCUUCUCUUUUGCGAUGAAGAUGUACCUACUUCGAUUUGAGGAUGUAAUAUUCCCCAGAGGACGACACCGCUUCGUGGUUUGUUGUGGCUGAUGGGCAAGGACAGAAAUGCCCCAUCACUUUCCUCAAUGACAGCUAGCUACAGCUUCGACGUAGAGCUGGCCAUGCAUGAAAUGGUUGAGAAAAGCAAGAACCUGCGCUUUUGCAGUCCCCUAUAUUAAGCAAGCUGAAAAGAUGUUACCCAACAGGCCAUCGGCCAUAUCUUUCCGUUACAAAUUGGCUCCAAAACUGUGAGGUAAACUUUUAAAAAAAUCUCAUAAUACUUGAUCCAAUGGGUUUGUUGGUCUAACUCUUCCUAUUUUUUUACAAAAUAAGAAGAGUUAGAUCAACAAAAUGCUUGUUAGGCAGUUCUGGAGUCGAGGACGCUUAGACACCUCAGAGUGAAGGUUGAUGAUAGCAAUCGCAACAAUCGAAGGGUUUGAGACAACGAAAACUGGCAGAGCUGAAUUUCGGACAACCAUCCUCCAUGGAAUUAACCUGCAGGUAGCAGUCGGUUUGCGAUGGUCCAAGGCCCAUAAUAUAGACCACGAUCUGCAGCUCUCGCGAUGCGCAUCCAGUGAGAGUCCUGGAAAUUAGGUGGUUCCCUUUCCAUGUGAAUCCUCGAGCAGCAACUGACAGCAAAUUAAUCACAAGUCCACGUGAGUCUGCAUCUUGCGGGGUCUUCCAUGGCGGUUCGGAGGCUCUUCUGGGAAC
RNAcentral lists this long non-coding RNA (1055 nucleotides) under Physcomitrium patens. RNAcentral's name for it is "long non-coding RNA (PPAT_LNC005920)". Lineage: Eukaryota; Viridiplantae; Streptophyta; Bryopsida; Funariales; Funariaceae. The record is from RNAcentral.